AUGCUUUACACAUGCAAGUCGAACGCUGAAGCUCCAGCUUGCUGGGGUGGAUGAGUGGCGAACGGGUGAGUAACACGUGAGUAACCUUCCCUUGACUCUGGGAUAAGCCCGGGAAACUGGGUCUAAUACCGGAUACGACCUCCUAUCGCAUGGUGGGGGGUGGAAAGAUUUAUCGGUUUUGGAUGGACUCGCGGCCUAUCAGCUUGUUGGUGAGGUAAUGGCUCACCAAGGCGACGACGGGUAGCCGGCCUGAGAGGGUGACCGGCCACACUGGGACUGAGACACGGCCCAGACUCCUACGGGAGGCAGCAGUGGGGAAUAUUGCACAAUGGGCGCAAGCCUGAUGCAGCGACGCCGCGUGAGGGAUGACGGCCUUCGGGUUGUAAACCUCUUUCAGUAGGGAAGAAGCUUUCGGGUGACGGUACCUGCAGAAGAAGCGCCGGCUAACUACGUGCCAGCAGCCGCGGUAAUACGUAGGGCGCGAGCGUUAUCCGGAAUUAUUGGGCGUAAAGAGCUCGUAGGCGGUUUGUCGCGUCUGCCGUGAAAGUCCGGGGCUUAACCCCGGAUCUGCGGUGGGUACGGGCAGACUAGAGUGCAGUAGGGGAGACCGGAAUUCCUGGUGUAGCGGUGAAAUGCGCAGAUAUCAGGAGGAACACCGAUGGCGAAGGCAGGUCUCUGGGCUGUUACUGACGCUGAGGAGCGAAAGCAUGGGGAGCGAACAGGAUUAGAUACCCUGGUAGUCCAUGCCGUAAACGUUGGGCACUAGGUGU
RNAcentral lists this ribosomal RNA (770 nucleotides) under Citricoccus sp. MJ106. RNAcentral describes it as "bacterial SSU rRNA". It matches the Rfam family "Bacterial small subunit ribosomal RNA", at positions 44 to 823 of the family's 1533-position model. The record is from RNAcentral. Lineage: Bacteria; Bacillati; Actinomycetota; Actinomycetes; Micrococcales; Micrococcaceae.